AGCAAAUACUCAAUAUAGUUAUACUCAAGAUCUUCAUGAAACAGAUUUAAAUUGGAAACUAACUAGAAAAAGAAAUUGAGAUGCAGAAACAAUUAUCUGAUAUCCAACCCUGCUUCUCCCGAUUUUUUUUUCUUUUUGGUGGUUCCACCAAAAUGCCCUAGCUCUUUUUUCUUUGUGAUGAAGGAUGAAUUCUGAAUGCCCUUAAUAUCCAAAGGAAAGAGGUAAAGGCUACUAGAAUAGAUGAUCAAAU
Molecule: unclassified non-coding RNA, 250 nt
Filed under: Hevea brasiliensis (rubber tree)
Lineage: Eukaryota; Viridiplantae; Streptophyta; Magnoliopsida; Malpighiales; Euphorbiaceae
Source: RNAcentral